RNAcentral lists this ribosomal RNA (510 nucleotides) under uncultured bacterium. Its description in RNAcentral is "bacterial SSU rRNA". It matches the Rfam family "Bacterial small subunit ribosomal RNA", at positions 8 to 518 of the family's 1533-position model. The record is from RNAcentral.
AGAGUUGAUCAUGGCUCAGGAUGAACGCUGGCGGCGUGCCUAAUACAUGCAAGUCGAGCGAGAAAUAAGAAGAAGCGUUUCGGACAAAUCAUCUAAUGGAAAGCGGCGGACGGGUGAGUAACGCGUAGGCAACCUGCCCUUAGCAGAGGGAUAGCCAUUGGAAACGAUGAUUAAAACCUCAUAAAGCCGUAGGAGCACAUGCUCCAUCGGCCAAAGAUUUAUCGGCUAAGGAUGGGCCUGCGUCUGAUUAACUAGUUGGUGAGGUAACGGCUCACCAAGGUGACGAUCAGUAGCCGACCUGAGAGGGUGAUCGGCCACAUUGGAACUGAGACACGGUCCAAACUUCUACGGAAGGCAGCAGUAAGGAAUCUUGCACAAUGGGGGAAACCCUGAUGCAGCAACGCCGCGUGAACGAUGAAGGCCUUCGGGUUGUAAAGUUCUGAUCUUGGGGAAGAAGAAAGUGACGGUACCCAAGGAGAAAGCCCCGGCUAAAUACGUGCCAGCCGCCGC